GAUGAACGCUAGCUACAGGCUUAACACAUGCAAGUCGAGGGGAAACGGCAUCGAAAGCUUGCUUUUGAUGGGCGUCGACCGGCGCACGGGUGAGUAACGCGUAUUCAACCUGCCCAUCACUUGGGAAUAACCUUGCGAAAGUAAGACUAAUGCCCAAUGACAUCCCACGAAGGCAUCCGAAGGGGAUUCAAGAUUUAUCGGUGAUGGAUGGGGAUGGGUCUGAUUAGCUUGUUGGCGGGGUGACGGCCCACCAAGGCAACGAUAAGUAGGCGUUCUGAGAGGAAGGUCCCCGACAUUGGAACUGAGACACGAUCCAACGCCUACGGGAGGCAGCAGUGAGGAAUAGUAGGCAAUGGGGGAGAGCCUGAACCAGCCAAGUAGCGUGCAGGAUGGCGGCCCUAUGGGUUGUAAGCUGCUUUUAGAAGGGAAAAGAGUGGGUAACGGGUGACUUUUUGCAUGUACCUGAUGAAUAAGGACCGGCUAAUUCCGUG
RNAcentral lists this ribosomal RNA (491 nucleotides) under uncultured bacterium. RNAcentral describes it as "partial 16S ribosomal RNA". It matches the Rfam family "Bacterial small subunit ribosomal RNA", at positions 28 to 507 of the family's 1533-position model. The record is from RNAcentral.